GCAUGAUCGCACUCGGUUGAUAUAGAAAGAAUGGCAAAAAGUUUAGGAGGGAAGAAACAAUGACGAGCAUGAUGAAUGAGACGGACGAUCACAUAGCAUGGUCUAAAGGGAAUGUGAUGCAUCAGAACAAUGACAUAUGCGAUUGAUCAAAUCUCGGUAGUGGGAGACUAGGAAGGAAAUGCUAUCAGCCCAAGCUAACAUCUCAAACCUAGCCUCAUGAAGGGGAAAAGCUACUAGACAUCAUCAGAGCUAAGCAACCUGCUUUCCACGGGGGCGGAUCUCUUCCAAAUGUCACGAAUUUCUCGACCUUGCAGGCGGUGCUUAGCUGAGGGAGGAAUCUUGGAUGGAGAACAAAAUGCUCGUACUUCAGUAGAGACAAGUGGGCAGAAUCGCGGUAGAGCAACCGCAGUGCGACACCGGAGCUUUCCUAUAGCUUGGUAGUGCAGAGAAGGCUGCCUCCGCCAUACGCAUCAGCCGCCUCGACCGAGCUAGUCGGAGAGUCGUGGUCCAUCACCUUCCCAAUCCGGAUCUGUGUGAAGCACCCGUGUGGGUGUGAGGGGCCGAGGGCUAUGCCAUCUGUACUGAUUUUUUUACUCGAUGUCAUCCGUACUGAUUACUAUCGAACCGGCCCAAAACUGUAGCAAGCGUGAUAUUCUUUUCCCCAUUUUUUCCAGAUCUCCAUGCUUUGUAGUACGGUUUCUCAUUUUUUUUAUUGUUUUUGGUUUCCCCUUUCCAAUUUUUCAUUCCAUCGGUUUUCAUCAGUAUUUUGUUUCUUUCUUCAGUUUUUUCUUCUUUCU
This 797-nucleotide long non-coding RNA is filed under the name Hordeum vulgare. Its description in RNAcentral is "long non-coding RNA (HVUL_LNC017341)". Lineage: Eukaryota; Viridiplantae; Streptophyta; Magnoliopsida; Poales; Poaceae. The record is from RNAcentral.